AAAUAAAAGAAAUAUUGAAAUAAAAACACGAACACAAGAGACUCGACUUAAGAUCAAGAUCAAGAUUACCCUCCUACUCCGCCGCCAUUACGUGACACUAACGUCUGGCGAUCUUCAAAGCUUCCUUCUUCGCAUAUCAGCCUUGGGAAACGCUUCGUCCAUGCUACCAGCCAUGAAAGACGUGCAUGCGUGUUACUCACUGCCUUGCUAUCUAAUAUUUUCUCGUAUGACGUGUGGGUGGCCAGACAAGAGAGAGAACACUACUUAGAGCACCACAGACACUAACACUGGGCCCACUGUCACCUAUACGUGCCCAACUGACUCUCUUGUGGGGAACUCAACAAGAGCCUGCCUGAAAAGUGGCUUGUGGAGCGAGUCUGCGUCCACUUGCAGAUUGGUGACCUGCGCAAAGCCUACACUUCCUGCUGAUGGUUACGUUACAGCCUAUAGUUUUGACGUGAGGGCGGACGUGAUCUACCACUGCAAUGAAGGAUACCGGCUGGAAACAGGUCACGAUGGCUCGCCACAACCUUCCAGUGGGCAUGAGAGGACGAGAUCUGUGAAAAGGACGUGUCAAAUCGCAGGACUUUAGUCAGGGAAUGUGCCCUCGUGUGCUUACUGGAAUGAACUGCUGGAAACACCAGACAUAAACAACGCAUGGGAAGUCUUUGCUAAAAAGUUAAAUGAAACUACGUUUUUGUGUGUACCGCAACGAAACAGACGGAAGGUAAAAAACACCAAACCGAAAUGGUGGAACAAUGAAAUUAGAUGCUGCCUUCUGGCUAAGAAAAAUGCGUACCACAAAUACAUACUAACACAAAAUAAUGAUGAUAAACUAGAGCAUGACAGAUUACGUAGAAAAACUAAAAAGCUGAUCAAAUGCAGCAAAAAAUCUGUCGAAGCUCAGAUCGCGAACUCAUGUAAAACGAACCCAAAAGAAUUUUACAGUUAUGUAAAAGCAAAAAGGGUCGUAACAUCAACGAUUGGUCCAUUGAUAACAGAAAAUGGUAAACAAAUAACAAGCGAAACAGACAUGGCGAAUACCCUGAACGAGUACUUCUCAACCGUCUUCACGACUGAGGAUGUUCAGGGCAGUCUGCCGACCCCCACGCCUCAGUCACGAGGCACCACGCUGCCAGACUUCACCAUCACAGAAAGUGAAAUCCUCUCAGUCACAAAGAGCAUGAACGUAAACAAAACACCCGGGCCAGACAAGAUAUCACCCAGGCUUCUUAAAGAAGCAAGAAAUGAGCUCGUGAAACCGCUUACAAUUUUAUUCAAUAAAACUUUGCUAGCGGGUAAAGUUCCCCACGAAUGGAAACUAGCAAAUGUCACGCCAAUCUU
Scylla paramamosain (green mud crab) is the source of this 1344-nucleotide long non-coding RNA. RefSeq lists it as uncharacterized. Lineage: Eukaryota; Metazoa; Arthropoda; Malacostraca; Decapoda; Portunidae. The record is from RefSeq and is a predicted model, not a curated record. The transcript has 6 exons.